RNAcentral lists this ribosomal RNA (223 nucleotides) under uncultured bacterium. RNAcentral describes it as "partial 16S ribosomal RNA". It matches the Rfam family "Bacterial small subunit ribosomal RNA", at positions 524 to 745 of the family's 1533-position model. The record is from RNAcentral.
UACGUAGGGGGCGAGCGUUGUCCGGAAUCACUGGGCGUAAAGAGCGUGUAGGCGGUCUGCCAAGUCUGUUGUGAAAGCGCCUGGCUUAACUGGGCGAGGUCGACGGAAACUGGCAAACUGGAGGCCGUAGAGGAGGGUGGAAUUCCCGGUGUAGUGGUGAAAUGCGUAGAUAUCGUGAGGAACACCAGAGGCGAAGGCGGUUACCUGGACCAGUUACUGAACG